This 74-nucleotide transfer RNA is filed under the name Setaria italica (foxtail millet). It matches the Rfam family "tRNA". Rfam says of the family: Transfer RNA (tRNA) molecules are approximately 80 nucleotides in length. Their secondary structure includes four short double-helical elements and three loops (D, anti-codon, and T loops). Further hydrogen bonds mediate the characteristic L-shaped molecular structure. tRNAs have two regions of fundamental functional importance: the anti-codon, which is responsible for specific mRNA codon recognition, and the 3' end, to which the tRNAs corresponding amino acid is attached (by aminoacyl-tRNA synthetases). tRNAs cope with the degeneracy of the genetic code in two manners: having more than one tRNA (with a specific anti-codon) for a particular amino acid; and 'wobble' base-pairing, i.e. permitting non-standard base-pairing at the 3rd anti-codon position. The record is from Rfam by way of RNAcentral. Lineage: Eukaryota; Viridiplantae; Streptophyta; Magnoliopsida; Poales; Poaceae.
AGCGGGGUAGAGGAAUUGGUUGACUCAUCAGGCUUAUGACCUGAAGACUGCAGGUUCGAAUCCUGUCCCCGCCU